UGAGACUAGGCUGGGGAUGACAGGAGGAC
RNAcentral lists this non-coding RNA (29 nucleotides) under Homo sapiens (human). The record is from RNAcentral. Lineage: Eukaryota; Metazoa; Chordata; Mammalia; Primates; Hominidae.